AAGGUUUGGUCCUGACCUUAAAAUCAGCUCUUACUUAACUUACACAUGCAAGUCUCCGCCUUCCUGUGAAAACGCCCUUAGACCCCUCAAAGGGGAAAGGAGCCGGUAUCAGGCACAUCUCUUAGCCCAAGACACCUAGCUAUGCCACACCCACAAGGGACCUCAGCAGUGAUUAACAUUAAACAUAAGCGACAGCUUGAUUCAGUUAAAGAAAAGAGAGCCGGCAAAUCUGGUGCCAGCCGCCGCGGUUACACCAUGUGGCUCAAGUUGAUUUUGUUCGGCGUAAAGCGUGGUUUAAGGGUUUAAUUAUGGUGUCAAAAAAGUACUAAGCCGUGACACGCUUGUACAUAAGAAGACCUAAAACGAAAGUUACACCAGUCACAUAAACUUGAACCCACGACAGCUAGGAAACAAACUGGGAUUAGAUACCCCACUAUGCCUAACCGUAAACUUUAACUUACACCCCGAUCGCCAGGGAACUACGAGCAAAGCUUAAAACCCAAAGGACUUGACGGUACCCCAAAUCCACCUAGAGGAGCCUGUCCUAUAAUCGAUAACCCCCGCUUAACCUCACCUCUUGUUGUCCAUCAGCCUGUAUACCUCCGUCGUCAGCUUACCUCGUGAGCGUCAUUAAGUGAGCCUAAUGCCCCCGCGUCAACACGUCAGGUCAAGGUGCAGCUAAUAAAGAGGGAAGAGAUGGGCUACACUCUCUACCUUAGAAAAAACAAAAGACUACAUAUGAAAUCCUAGUCAGAAGGCGGAUUUAGUAGUAAAAAGAAAACAGAGUGUUCUUUUUAACUUGGCCCUGGGGUGCGUACACACCGCCCGUCACCCUCUUCAAAAAACAAUUUUAGUGUUUUACUAAACCUCGCCCUUAGAAGAGGCAAGUCGUAAACAUGGUAAGUAUACCGGAAGGUGUGCUUGGAUU
This 928-nucleotide non-coding RNA is filed under the name Leptodactylus discodactylus (Vanzolini's Amazon frog). Its description in RNAcentral is "12S ribosomal RNA". It matches the Rfam family "Bacterial small subunit ribosomal RNA". Lineage: Eukaryota; Metazoa; Chordata; Amphibia; Anura; Leptodactylidae. The record is from RNAcentral.